Non-coding RNA from Pelobates cultripes (western spadefoot toad), 235 nucleotides. Lineage: Eukaryota; Metazoa; Chordata; Amphibia; Anura; Pelobatidae. The record is from the annotation of a GenBank genome assembly.
GAAUUCUUUCCUUAGCUGUUCAAUCUUGUUGGUAAAGUAGCAUGCAAAACUAUCGGCUGUAAGGUUAGUUUAGGGGGUGGCCACAGCAGGGUAAAGAAGGGAGUUAAAGGUAUUAAAAAGACGCCUGGGAUUGCGAGAGAAUGAGCUAAUGACGGAGGAAAAGUAUGACUGUUUGGCAAGGGCUGUGCUCUAUGAACGCAAAACAUGAAUUUGUAGUGGAGGGAGUCAGACUGGG